This 699-nucleotide ribosomal RNA is filed under the name uncultured bacterium. RNAcentral describes it as "bacterial SSU rRNA". It matches the Rfam family "Bacterial small subunit ribosomal RNA", at positions 806 to 1504 of the family's 1533-position model. The record is from RNAcentral.
ACGAUGUGAACUAGAUGUUUGUGGAGGAAUCCAUGAGUAUCGAAGCUAACGCGAUAAGUUCACCGCCUGGGGAGUACGGCCGCAAGGUUGAAACUCAAAUGAAUUGACGGGGGCCCGCACAAGCGGUGGAGCAUGUGGUUUAAUUCGAUGCAACGCGAAGAACCUUACCUACCCUUGACAUCCUAGGAAUUCUGAAGAGAUUCGGAAGUGCCGAAAGGAACCUAGAGACAGGUGCUGCAUGGCUGUCGUCAGCUCGUGUUGUGAGAUGUUGGGUUAAGUCCCGUAACGAGCGCAACCCUUAUCCUUAGUUACUAACGAGUUAAGUCGAGGACUCUAAGGAGACUGCCGGUGUUGAACCGGAGGAAGGCGGGGACGACGCCAAGUCAUCAUGGCCCUUAUGGGUAGGGCUACACACGUGCUACAAUGGGACGUACAGAGAGUCGCCAACCCGCGAGGGGGAGCUAAUCUCAGAAAGCGUCUCGUAGUCCGGAUUGGAGUCUGCAACUCGACUCCAUGAAGUUGGAAUCGCUAGUAAUCGCGAAUCAGCAUUGUCGCGGUGAAUACGUUCCCGGGCCUUGUACACACCGCCCGUCACGUCAUGGAAGUGGAUGGUACCAGAAGCGGGUAGUUUAACCUUCGGGAGAACGCUUGCCACGGUAUGAUUCAUGACUGGGACGAAGUCGUAACAAGGUAACCGUA